UGGGUUUCACCUGGAGAGAGCCUCACCUGAGUCACGGUGGGGGAGUGUCGGUUGGGUUCAGUUUGGCUACUUUUUUCUCUUCUCUCUGUGUAGAGACAUUUUUGAUUCCAACCCACAAUAGGCACCAGCGAGAUUGCAAAAUUACAGCAAGUAAACCUAAAGGCUUUUGGAGAAAAGAAGGCUAUACAGUUUGGAUCAUAAAGACCCUCCCGACUGAAAUGCAUUGGUCAGUUCAUGGAGCAUACCUGGUCUUCCAGAGCACUCCUGGCCAAGCAAGGAUUCUCACACGGAAGGAAUCAUAAAAUGAAGCAAACAGCAGUCAGGGCCCACACGGAUCCAUUACUUUCCAGAAGUACUUCAAAACUUACUAGGCAAAAGAGAACCACUAAAAGCCAUGUCCCCAGUGGAUGUCUGACAACCCUGUCCAGUAACAAGAAAGGGUCUGGAUUCCCAAUUGGCAGCCUGCAGCAAGGAAUCAC
Long non-coding RNA from Vidua chalybeata, 479 nucleotides. RefSeq lists it as uncharacterized. The transcript has 3 exons. The record is from RefSeq and is a predicted model, not a curated record. NCBI's taxonomy places the organism in Eukaryota, Metazoa, Chordata, Aves, Passeriformes, Viduidae.